RNAcentral lists this transfer RNA (62 nucleotides) under Hypothenemus sp. BMNH 1039866. Its description in RNAcentral is "tRNA-Ala". The record is from RNAcentral. Lineage: Eukaryota; Metazoa; Arthropoda; Insecta; Coleoptera; Curculionidae.
AGGAUAAUAGUUUAAGAAAAACAUUUAAAUUGCACUUAAAAAUUAUUUUAUUAAUUUAUCUU